AAUGAUGCGUUGACUAGGGAAGAGUAAACGACUUGUCACUACUUAGAGAGAAAAGCAUUUGCUGAAAGCUUUUUUAGGACAUGAGUUGAAGGUAGCCUUGCGAGCAAAUAGAAUGAUGACCCUAAACGGUUGCCAUAAACUAUUCGGAGAUAUCUCCGUUACAAAAAAUGAGAAGCAGGCUUAUUCAGUCUGUAAACUUAGGUGGUACCGCGAUAAAAUCGUCCUACAU
Molecule: non-coding RNA, 229 nt
Filed under: Jeotgalibaca sp.
Lineage: Bacteria; Bacillati; Bacillota; Bacilli; Lactobacillales; Carnobacteriaceae
Description: T-box sequence
Rfam family: T-box leader
About the family: Uncharged tRNA acts as the effector for transcription antitermination of genes in the T-box leader family.
Source: RNAcentral